RNAcentral lists this ribosomal RNA (253 nucleotides) under uncultured bacterium. RNAcentral's name for it is "partial 16S ribosomal RNA". It matches the Rfam family "Bacterial small subunit ribosomal RNA", at positions 524 to 776 of the family's 1533-position model. The record is from RNAcentral.
UACGGAGGGUGCAAGCGUUAUCCGGAUUCACUGGGUUUAAAGGGUGCGUAGGUGGGUUGGUAAGUCAGUGGUGAAAUCUCCGAGCUUAACUUGGAAACUGCCGUUGAUACUAUCAAUCUUGAAUAUCGCGUAGGUAAGCGGAAUAUGUCAUGUAGCGGUGAAAUGCUUAGGUAUGACAUAGAACACCAAUUGCGAAGGCAGCUUACUUCACGAUCAUUGACACUGAGGCACGAAAGCGUGGGGAGCAAACAGG